Molecule: transfer RNA, 75 nt
Filed under: uncultured Pseudomonas sp.
Lineage: Bacteria; Pseudomonadati; Pseudomonadota; Gammaproteobacteria; Pseudomonadales; Pseudomonadaceae
Description: transfer RNA-Ala
Rfam family: Bacterial small subunit ribosomal RNA (bases 1-60)
Source: RNAcentral
ACUGGGGUGAAGUCGUAACAAGGUAGCCGUAGGGGAACCUGCGGCUGGAUCACCUCCUUAAUCGAAGACAUCGGC